AUUAGGUUGUUGGUGAGGUAAAAGCUCACCAAGCCGACGAUCUGUAGCUGGUUUGAGAGAACGACCAGCCACACUGGGACUGAGACACGGCCCAGACUCCUACGGGAGGCAGCAGUGGGGAAUUUUGGACAAUGGGCGCAAGCCUGAUCCAGCCAUGCCGCGUGCAGGAUGACGGUCCUAUGGAUUGUAAACUGCUUUUAUACGAGAAGAAACACUCCGACGUGUCGGAGCUUGACGGUAUCGUAAGAAUAAGGAUCGGCUAACUCCGUGCCAGCAGCCGCGGUAAUACGGAGGAUCCAAGCGUUAUCCGGAAUCAUUGGGUUUAAAGGGUCCGUAGGCGGUCAGGUAAGUCAGUGGUGAAAGCCCAUCGCUCAACGGUGGAACGGCCAUUGAUACUGUCUGACUUGAAUUAUUAGGAAGUAACUAGAAUAUGUGGUGUAGCGGUGAAAUGCUUAGAGAUUACAUGGAAUACCAAUUGCGAAGGCAGGUUACUACUAAUGGAUUGACGCUGAUGGACGAAAGCGUGGGUA
This 530-nucleotide ribosomal RNA is filed under the name uncultured bacterium. RNAcentral's name for it is "bacterial SSU rRNA". It matches the Rfam family "Bacterial small subunit ribosomal RNA", at positions 240 to 767 of the family's 1533-position model. The record is from RNAcentral.